UGAGGAAUAUUGGUCAAUGGGAGUAAUCCUGAACCAGCAAUGCCGCGUGCGGGACGAAGGGGCUUUGCCCUGUAAACCGCUGUCGGAGGGGACGAAAGGCGCAUUUGGUGCGCCGGGACGGUACCCUUAGAGGAAGGAUCGGCUAACUACGUGCCAGCAGCCGCGGUAAUACGUAGGAUCCGAGCGUUGUCCGGAAUUACUGGGUGUAAAGGGUGCGCAGGCGGUUUUGUGCGUCAGAGGUGAAAUCCACGGGCUUAACUCGUGGGGUGCCUUUGAAACGGCAGAACUUGAGUUCGAGAGAGGCGAGUGGAAUUCCUGGUGUAGCAGUGAAAUGCGUAGAUAUCAGGAGGAACACCGGUGGCGAAGGCGGCUCGCUGGCUCGCAACUGACGCUCAGGCAC
RNAcentral lists this ribosomal RNA (400 nucleotides) under uncultured bacterium. RNAcentral's name for it is "bacterial SSU rRNA". It matches the Rfam family "Bacterial small subunit ribosomal RNA", at positions 355 to 754 of the family's 1533-position model. The record is from RNAcentral.